RNAcentral lists this ribosomal RNA (143 nucleotides) under endophyte DG vagiga5. Its description in RNAcentral is "small subunit ribosomal RNA". It matches the Rfam family "Eukaryotic small subunit ribosomal RNA", at positions 83 to 228 of the family's 1831-position model. The record is from RNAcentral. Lineage: Eukaryota; Fungi; Ascomycota.
GAAACUGCGAAUGGCUCAUUAAAUCAGUUAUCGUUUAUUUGAUAGUACCUUACUACAUGGAUAACCGUGGUAAUUCUAGAGCUAAUACAUGCUAAAAAUCCCGACUUCGGAAGGGAUGUAUUUAUUAGAUCAAAAACCAAUGC